GGAUCAUUAGCGAGUUGCAAAACUCCCAACCCACUGCGAACCAUACCCCGUACGCCUUCCGUUGCCUCGGCGGAUCGCCCCGGCCCCUAGCGGGGGCGGGUGCUGCCGCCGUCGUAACGAGGGCCUAACAACUCUGUUUUAUAUGCCGCUCUGAGUACUGCUUCUUAAUGAAUUAAAACUUUCAACAACGGAUCUCUUGGUUCUGGCAUCGAUGAAGAACGCAGCGAAAUGCGAUAAGUAAUGUGAAUUGCAGAAUUCAGUGAAUCAUCGAAUCUUUGAACGCACAUUGCGCCCGCCAGCACUCUGGCGGGCAUGCCUGUCCGAGCGUCAUUUCAACCCUCGAGCCCCCGGGCUCCGCGUUGGGGCGUCCCACGGCCGCCGUGGACCCCUAAUAUCAGUGGCGGCGCUGCCGCGCUCCCUGGGUGUAGUAGUCUAUGAUCUCACCCGGAAGGAGACGGCGGUGUCAUGCCGUUAAAUCCAGACGCCUUUCGGUGCUCUGAAUCAUAAGGUUGACCUCGGAUCAGGUAGGAAUACCCGCUGAACUUAAGCAUAUCAAUAAGCGGAGGAAAAGAAACCAACAGGGAUUGCCCUAGUAACGGCGAGUGAAGCGGCAACAGCUCAAAUUUGAAAUCUGGCCUCGGCCCGAGUUGUAAUUUGCAGAGGAUGCUUUUGGUGCGGUUCCUUCCGAGUCCCCUGGAACGGGGCGCCAGAGAGGGUGAGAGCCCCGUAUGGUCGGACGCCUAGCCUGUGUAAAGCUCCUUCGACGAGUCGAGUAGUUUGGGAAUGCUGCUCUAAAUGGGAGGUAUAUUCCUUCUAAAGCUAAAUACCGGCCAGAGACCGAUAGCGCACAAGUAGAGUGAUCGAAAGAUGAAAAGCACUUUGAAAAGAGGGUCAAACAGCACGUGAAAUUGUUGAAAGGGAAGCGCUCGUAACCAGACGUGCGCCGGGCCGCUCAUCCAGCGUUCUCGCUGGUGCACUCGGCCCGGCGCAGGCCAGCAUCGGUUUCUGCGGGGGGACAAAGGCCCGGGGAAUGUGACUCCUCCGGGAGUGUUAUAGCCCCGGGCGUAAUGCCCCCGCGGGGACCGAGGUCC
This 1091-nucleotide ribosomal RNA is filed under the name fungal endophyte. RNAcentral describes it as "eukaryotic LSU rRNA". The stretch from base 511 to 1091 matches the Rfam family "Eukaryotic large subunit ribosomal RNA", at positions 1 to 594 of the family's 3401-position model. Lineage: Eukaryota; Fungi. The record is from RNAcentral.